CCUCUGUUGGGCUAUAGCAGGCAGUGAGGGGCCUCCGUGGGGCUGUGACAGGCACGUGGGACCUCCGUGGGGCUGUGACAGGCACGUAGGGCCUCCAUGGGUUUAUAGCAGGCAGGUAGGGGCCUCCCUGGGGCUCUGGCAGUCAGGUGGGGGCCUCCAUGGAGCUGUAACAGGCACGUGGGGCCUCCGUGAGGUUGUAACAGGCACGUGGGGCCUCUGUGGGGUUAUAGCAGGCAGGUGGGGUCCUUCCUGGGGCUAUUGCAGGAAGGUAGGGGCCUCCGUGGGGCUCUAGCAGGCAGGUGGGGGCCUCCGUGGGUUUAUAACAGGCAGGUGGGGCCCUCCCUGGGGCUUUAGCAGGCAGGCGGGGGCUUCCACAGGCUACAAACACCCCGGGCUCCUUCUUCACUCUUCUCUCGGAUCGUCUUCGGUUUUCGUGUUCGGUCCCUGUUCUUGCUGAAGUCCCACUGGGUUAGGUACUCCUGUCACCAUCUUACAGACGUGCAAACGGAAGGUCCCAAGAAGCAGACUGGCCGGACUCGACCUCUUCAGAGGACUUCUUCCCUCCUGCCUGCAUGUGUCCGUGUACCUGCCCGUGCCUGGAUCGGCCGGGAACGGGGGCAGGGUCUCUGCUCAGAACGUGGUCUUCCUCCUAGAUGUCCUGUGUCUGGUCCCACACGUAGCCCCCGGCUUGUCUCUGCCCGGUGUCCCCCGGCUGUGAUUUUCUGGUUCUGUUUCUCCAGGAACUUUUGUGUCCUGCCCCACGAGCGUUUAUACGUUCUCGGCAAUCUGGUUUUUAUCCUU
Long non-coding RNA from Felis catus (domestic cat), 801 nucleotides. RefSeq lists it as uncharacterized. Lineage: Eukaryota; Metazoa; Chordata; Mammalia; Carnivora; Felidae. The record is from RefSeq and is a predicted model, not a curated record. The transcript has 2 exons.